This 27-nucleotide non-coding RNA is filed under the name Rattus norvegicus (Norway rat). Lineage: Eukaryota; Metazoa; Chordata; Mammalia; Rodentia; Muridae. The record is from RNAcentral.
UCAACUAACCUGGACUCUUGGGAGCUC